UACAGAGGGGGCAAGCGUUGUUCGGAAUUACUGGGCGUAAAGGGCGCGUAGGCGGUCUUGCAAGUCCUGUGUGAAAUCCCUCGGCUCAACUGAGGAACUGCACAGGAAACUGCUUGGCUUGAGUUCGGGAGAGGGAAGCGGAAUUCCGGGUGUAGCGGUGAAAUGCACAGAUAUCAGGAGGAACACCGGUGGCGAAGGCGGGUCUCUGGGCCGAUACUGACGCUGAGGAGCGAAAGCGUGGGGAGCGAACAGG
This 253-nucleotide ribosomal RNA is filed under the name uncultured bacterium. RNAcentral describes it as "partial 16S ribosomal RNA". It matches the Rfam family "Bacterial small subunit ribosomal RNA", at positions 524 to 776 of the family's 1533-position model. The record is from RNAcentral.